This 253-nucleotide ribosomal RNA is filed under the name uncultured bacterium. RNAcentral's name for it is "partial 16S ribosomal RNA". It matches the Rfam family "Bacterial small subunit ribosomal RNA", at positions 524 to 776 of the family's 1533-position model. The record is from RNAcentral.
UACAGAGGGUGCAAGCGUUACUCGGAAUUACUGGGCGUAAAGCGUGCGUAGUCGGUUAUUUAAGUCGGAUGUGAAAUCCCCGGGCUCAACCUGGGAAUUGCAUUCGAUACUGGAUAGCUAGAGUUCGGCAGAGGGAAGCGGAAUUUCUGGUGUAGCGGUGAAAUGCGUAGAUAUCAGAAGGAACAUCAGUGGCGAAAGCGGCUUCCUGGACCAGAACUGACGAUCAGGCACGAAAGCGUGGGGAGCAAACAGG